UGACCUCGGAUCAGGUAGGAGUACCCGCUGAACUUAAGCAUAUCAAUAAGCGGAGGAAAAGAAACCAACAGGGAUUGCCUCAGUAACGGCGAGUGAAGCGGCAAAAGCUCAAAUUUGAAAUCUGGCUCCAUGCGGAGCCCGAGUUGUAAUUUGGAGAGGACACUUCGGGUGCGGCCACGGCAUAAGUUCCUUGGAACAGGACGUCAUAGAGGGUGAGAAUCCCGUCUUUGGCUGCUGGACCGCGCCCAUGCGAAGUUCCUUCGACGAGUCGAGUUGUUUGGGAAUGCAGCUCUAAGUGGGUGGUAAAUUUCAUCUAAAGCUAAAUAUUGGCCGGAGACCGAUAGCGCACAAGUAGAGUGAUCGAAAGGUUAAAAGCACCUUGAAAAGGGAGUUAAAUAGCACGUGAAAUUGUUGAAAGGGAAGCGCUUGCAACCAGACUCGGUCGUGGGGGCUCAGCGGGCAUGCGUGCCCGUGUACUCCCCCAUGCUCCGGGCCAGCAUCAGUUCUGGCGGUUGGUUAAAGGCC
This 525-nucleotide non-coding RNA is filed under the name Coccidioides posadasii str. Silveira. RNAcentral's name for it is "Eukaryotic large subunit ribosomal RNA". It matches the Rfam family "Eukaryotic large subunit ribosomal RNA", at positions 1 to 527 of the family's 3401-position model. Lineage: Eukaryota; Fungi; Ascomycota; Eurotiomycetes; Onygenales; Onygenaceae. The record is from Rfam by way of RNAcentral.